CGCAUAACAAGCAUCGCUACAAAUCAUGAGAUUCUCGAUGUCACGUCGAUGAUAUAUUGAAGGUUAAUGAUCUUUCCAAAAAAAACGUAUUCGAGACUCGCGUUAAUCCUCAAUUAAUGUAUAAGUAUAGUAUAUUACGGUUUAGUUGCUAUGUAUUUAUUAACGGAACUACGAAUUUACGCGCGUACGUAAUAUAUAUUUAUACAUACUGUACGUUAUCGUGUAUAUUACACACAUACAUAUAUAUACGUGUAUGUAUGUGAAUUUUGUAAUAUAUUAUUACACGUAAAUAGAAGAGGGAAGUAAUAUACUACACAAAAUAUUUAUAAACAGCGCUUUCCACGUUCCAAUUGUGAGACAGACAAUAAGUGAAACGAACUAUGACAGUAGAAAUGCAGUUUUAAACAUUUAUUAUAUUGAAAAUAUACUUACAUCAGAGAGAAGCCUAUUGUACAUACGUACCUACCUGAGACACAUCAAAAUAUAAUAUUAUAAUUAAAAUAUUAACAUUAUUUUUAUGAGCUAACCAUCUAAAUUAUACGAAAUUAUUAUUUUAUAAAAUAAUGUUUGAAUUAUUUAAACGACGUGUCACAAAAUCAUACAAUCGUAUUAUAAAGUCUCGCAAAUGAUCAAUAAAUUGCUGUCCUGGCGAAAAUAAAAAUAUAGCGUAAGUCAAAUGUAGAGAGUGAUAGAAAUUAAUAUUAUAAGCAAACAUUCUAGACCGAAGCGUAUAUAUAGAUUAAUUUACGUUUCACUAUUCCAAUUUAUACCUAGAACGUUUGCUUACGCUUCUCUUUUUUAUUCUUUACUUUCGCCAGGGUGAUAACAUGACAAUUAUCCUUGGAUUUCCAUACAUGCGUUGCCAGUUGUCGCAUGUAUAGUGUACGUCAAACAUAUAUUUCUAUGGGUUAUCUCCAAUCAAACGCAUGCUUCUUUCAAAUACAUGCGCAUUAUUUAUAACAACAACGCAUGCGCCAGGAAAUCAGGGAGUUAAGCUCGAAAUGUCAAAUUUAAAGAAUCUUGCGUAUAAAUAAGCCAAUUCUGUAUACAUGACCCGUUCACAAAACACACGUAAUUAAAUGAAUUGGCGGAAAUUUUGGCUGGGUGUGAUGGGCGAGAAAGGGACCGAAAUGGAAACAGAUACAGAUGAUGAUGAAGUUACUGAAACCGAUGAAACCAUGUCGACGGAAAAGAGUUCCAAAAAUAUCGGUACAUCUCCUUCGAACCUGUUUUACAAGUGGCUACCGGAGAAAUGUCUCAAAUUCUGUUUUUUGUUGCUUAACAGCGUAGCCCUACUUGCAGGUAUAACGGCGAUAAUGAUAUCUAUCUGGAUGUUGACGGAUGCAAGCUUUACAUCUAGAUUGCUCGGCGAGCAGCUUUUCAUGACAAUUAUAUUAAUUCUAGGAGUGUUUGUGUCUCUCGUUACUUUUACUGGAAUCAUAGGAAUCGCGAUGAAAAGAGAAUAUCUCAUGAUUUUCUAUUUAAUGUGCCAGUCAAUCGCUCUAUGCGCUGUAUUUGUAUACCUGACGAUGAGUUUCCCGUUUUUCGAUGAGAUUACAAGAAAAACUCGGGAUGACAUGAUCGAUUCUAUGAAGAGUUAUCAAUCUUCGAAUAGGGCUACGGAAGCAUGGGACAAUACUCAUAGAUAUUUAAAAUGCUGCGGAAUUAGAUCAUCCAAGGAUUGGUUGGAUCAUCAAAAGAACAUUCCGCAAAGUUGCUGUUCUGCACCAAUUAAACAGUGCCUGAAUAUCACAGAGGAUGUGUCUUAUAAAUCCGGAUGCUUAAGAGAGGCUAUAAUGCUGUUAAAAUCGCACGUCCAGACUGCCUCCAUUUCUACGCUUAUCAUAUUUCCACUUCUGUUGAUCAGCGUUCUUUUAGCGUUUGGUUUACGAAAGGGAUUAAAGACGAAUCGUUUAACGAGGGACGAAGCGAUCUAUUCGUGAAGACAUACGUGGGUAAACGUAACUCAGAAGUGAAUUGAAUGAUAAGUCCGACAGCAAUGUCGUUGUGCCACUAACUAUCCAUAAACGGCACCGUCUCUAAAGCCGCGAUGCAAAAUAUCAAUGGCGGGUACGAACGUUCGUGGAGACGCGAACAAACAAUACGUGCGACAAAUCGAUAGAUCUGGAAUCUUCAUGGGAUUGGAGGAUGGAGGGAAAUGGGGAAUGAGGGAGAAGAGGGAAGAUUGGCGGGUGAUAAUGUGAGAGGGAUUUCCGACGCUAAGGAUGGUUCGAUGCACGUAUAUGGGUCUCUUUUGUGCGCGAGCGAUCGGCGCGCGCGCACGUACGCACACAUACAUACAUAUAUGCACACAUGCAUACACAUACACAGGGCGAAAACGAUCGUUACUUGGCGGGCAGUAAUUUUGGUUACACAUACUUAGUACUCUCGGUAAGGAAACAUAGUUUAACGUCCGUUACGUUCAUAUCCAGCAAGCACAAAUAUGCGAUAUUGUAUACGUAUUACUUUUACCGAUAAUGAGUUUAUCCCUCUCUCGAAUUUCCACCGUUUCCGGUUUACACACGCAGACACAUCGCGGCUCGCACGCCCGCGGCUCGCAUCUCCCUCCGCGAUCACGCGAGAAUCAGUCGGAGGGAUAGCCCACCGUCGAUCCCGAGCGACUUGUCUUCCCGCACAUUCGCGCGCAUGCCACGGCGCAUGCAAUUACAGACCGAUCACCGAUCGGCGACGAUCGGGAACGCUUACGCUACGGAUAGGACACAUCCACAUGUUAAAAAUACGUUUAGUCGCGCUAUUGGUAUUCGACGACCUCAUGCACGCUCAUCCUCGCACCGAUCAUCGGCUGAUCCUCUCACUCCGUCGCUCUUUCGCUCACGCAUUCGCUCCGCCGUACAAGAAAAGCACCACUUUAUAAUACAAAUUCGUCUCGUCCUUAAUUGCCUAAAGCCGCGAACGGAAUUCAAGCUCGAGACCGCGCGAUCAAGUCCGCACGAUCGCUGGCUCCUAUAGUCCUUCCUCGAGGACACCACGAGGAUCGCUUUUAACUCCCCCCCCUCCCUUCCCCGGGGUUCCUCUUUCUCAAUUAUCUGCCGCUUCUCGCCGAGGCCAUUCAUGGUUGAGACACGUUACGCGCGUUUCCGUAUUCGUUUUUUGGCGCCCGCUGCCGCUUUUCGCAUUCGUAUUCGUCACCGCGCGAAUACCGUACUUGCGUCACACCCGCCGUUGAUCUUUUUUUUUUCUAAGUACGACGUUAAAAUAUCGCUGGCAGGGCAAACGUACACAUGGCUAACGUUAACGUCGUCGUCAACACCGUCGCUCCUCCCGAUUCGCAUUUAUCCUACGCCGAAGAAGGCUGCUAUGUCAAUGUAAAGCUAUGUAUUGACUAGUUUCUCUUUCUCUCUCUCUUUCUCUCCCUGUCUCGUCAGUUCUCAACUACGAAUGGCCUGUUACCCAUUUUUUUUCUUCUCUCUCCUUUUUUCUCCUCACUCUUCGCGAUAUAACUAUAAUUACCUUGUAUCAAUGCGGUGUAUUGUGCACGAUUCGCACGCGCGGUACCACGGUAUCCAUCAUUUACUUUAGGCCUCGAGCGCAAGCUCCACGAGCUUGCCGGCACGAGCCUUGCCUCGCACGAACGUAAUCAGAAAAACUCCACAUUCUGGAAUUUAAUUCAAAUCUGCAAGCUGGUAAUUAGCUGCGUCUACGUCGCGUUAAAACUCUCAGAGGGAAUUUCGCAAUGUUCCUCCUUCCCUUCCAGGCUCGCGUGGUCCGGGAUCCGGUGUGCACAUUCUCUCUCUCUCUCUCUCUCCCGAUUUUCUCACCCUUUCCUCCCCUGUCGUCGUUUAUCUAAGGCUUUCGCGGAUUUGCCAAUCGCGGAUCGGUCGCGCAGCUGGUCCGUGGAGCGAAUACUCGGUGAAACCCGCGUUCCUCCCGCGUGCGCUUGACGCUCUUACACCCUACGUACCCUAUACCUCGUGGUAUAAUAUAUAUAUUUAUUAUAUAUAUAAUAUAACGUUAUAGUGUUUUUGGCAUCUUUUGAAAUACACAAAUAGACUUUGGUAUAAAACUUUUUGAUAGUGUUCAGUACGUUUAUAUAUAUAUAUGCGCGUGCAUAUACAUAUCGGACGCUGCGCUACGGCGUGCUACAGCGGCAUUUUUUCUUUUACCCCCUUCGUCGACUUUCACGUUUCCGGUGUCUCUUUCUCUUUCUAUUUCCCUACCUCUCGGUGUCGCUCACUCGAAAGUCCCGCGGCUUCGAUACUGGACAAUGUCCCCGCGCGAGGGGGACAAUACGACUGAGGCUCUCAAAUCGCU
Molecule: RNA transcript, 4272 nt
Organism: Wasmannia auropunctata (little fire ant)
Lineage: Eukaryota; Metazoa; Arthropoda; Insecta; Hymenoptera; Formicidae
Gene name: tetraspanin-9-like
Exons: 7
Source: RefSeq, a predicted model, not a curated record